This is a long non-coding RNA of Zingiber officinale, 1594 nucleotides long. RefSeq lists it as uncharacterized. The transcript has 5 exons. The record is from RefSeq and is a predicted model, not a curated record. Lineage: Eukaryota; Viridiplantae; Streptophyta; Magnoliopsida; Zingiberales; Zingiberaceae.
ACAACUAUAUAACAAUGUGGAACUGAUGUUUCAGUUAACAGUUUUUUGUUCUUUCAUCAAUUUCAGCUAGUGGUGUGGACAGUGAGUGAAGGCCGGUCAUGGUUGUUAUAGGAGCUCAUUUUCUUUUGCGGUGCCUUGAUUUGGAGUGUUUUGUGCUGUAUGUUGUAAAGGCUAUUUACUCGCUCUCCCCCGCCAAGUCGUACUUAGGCCAAUACGGAGGAGGUAAAUCACGGAUGACUACUAGUCAUUAAUGCAAGUGGCCAAGGUAUGUUCAGACCGUCGAGUUUCGAUCCCAAGACUUCAUGUGGUAACAUCCUAUGUCUCAACCACUGUACCGUCCCGAGGGGACUAUAGUCCUUGUGAUCCAUGCAAUUAGAUCUAGAAGUUUACUUUUAGUAAUUUAAAACAUUUAGUCUUAUUUUUCUUACUCAAUGAUGUACAUCUAAAAAUUAUUUAGUGUUAUCAACAUCUUCGUAAAUUAAUGAAAGAUUGUUAAAUAGACACUAUGGGUCAAUCCAAUUGUGUGCUAACAUGAGAAUUCUUUCCAUAUUUAUUUCCAUCGUCCUUAAUAUCGUUAAGGCAAACAGUUUAAUUAUUUAACAGGAGUUUGAACCCUUGAUUCAGAAGCCAUACAGCAUUAUUUACAUUCACUCCGCAGCCUCUUUGCAACUGUAUUGUAUUUGAUUUGUUGAAGCGAAUUGAUGCGCAAUACAGAAAAGGAUCUUGUUGACAUACAUUUAACAUGAAGUUGUUUAUGGACGCAGUGCAACAGAUUUUGGGUUGGAAGCACAAGGGAAAUUUGCACGCUAUAUAUGUUUUGCAUCCGACACUGGGAUUGAGGGCAGCAAUCUUCUCCCUGCAGCUUUUGGUGGACGGCGAGGUGAUAUGAGGUAUAAUGGAGGGUCCUGGUAAUACAGGGAGGCUAAUAAUCAAGGUGACGAGAUGAUCAAAGUUAAGGAGAAGUAAUAGUCAAGGCUAGGAAGUUUCUGACCUGGUCCAAAAAGAGAAGUAAAGUCAAAGCCGGAAAUUUCCUUUGGGACUUGGCUUUCCCAUCUCAGUCAUAAGCAUGACUCUCAAUAUAUUUUCGGUCGGUUUCUUAGAUGGUCGGGCCCAUAGGGUUCAGUCCCUUCAUUUCUCCUGGGCACCAUAUUAAUCUAGUCUUGGUCGGCUUCUUAGUUAGUCGGGUCCCAGGAUUCAGUUUCUCAUUUCUUUAGGGUAUUGUCUCAGGCUAGUCUUAGUCGACUUCUUAGCUGGUCGGGCCUCAGGAGACAAUCCUCUCAUUUCUCUUGGGCAUCGUCCCAGGUUAUUACUGGUUGGCUUCUUAGUUGGUCGGGCCUCAUAGCUUAGUUUUCUCAUUUCUUUUGGGCACUGUCCUAGUCUACUCAGUUGGUUUCUUAGUUGGUCAGGCCCUUCAGACUCGAUCUCUUCAUUUUUCUCGGGCAUCGUCCUAGUCUACUCUUGGUCUGUCUUAGUGUCAGUCAGACUAUUGUCAGGAGACAACAUUGUUAUAGAAUUAUAAUAACUUGUCAAACAAUAACGGUUAUUCGUCAGGAAAUAUUUUGAUAUUGUCACAUGUAUAACGCGGAAUCUUCCU